AACUUUUUCAAUUUUCUAAUUUAAUAGAAAUAACCAAAACAAUGUGGCUUUCAAACAAGGCUUUAAACUAAUCUAAUACAACUUCUACAACACAUUCCAGAGCAUUAUAACAAGAAAUAUUUACAGGCAGCUAAUGUAUUAAAUAACCAUGAAAAAGAAAAUCUUGCUUUUAAUACACACCAGCAAAAAACACAGGAACGGAACAAUUAGAAACUGCAACCUUGUUUUAAAAAAUUAAAUAUGAUUAUUUAGAGAAUACAAUACCACAGAAACAGCACUUUUUCUUUAAGAAUCAUAUUGAAGGGUAGUUAAUUAUGUGCAAAAAUAAUAGUUGUAGUAAUAGUAGGAAUAAUAAUAAUAAUGAGGGGAGGAGACCAGUUGAAAUACUGGAAGCAAGGAACUAGUAAGGCUGUAAAUUUAACCCUUUCGUGUGUAUGUCUACAUAGAAAAUUAACAGGCUUUCAGAUUGCACAUACCAUUUUCAUAGGCUUAUAUACAUGUUUCACUGUGAUUUAAAACAUAGUAAAUGCCUACAUUUUUCAGACUAGGAGCAGACAAGCACUUCCUUCGUAAGACUGAAAUUUAGGCCACACCUGAAAGGGAAUAUUGCAGUGGCACUUACAAAAUCAUUUCAGUGCCUUCCCACAUACAAAUUUGGUGAAUUUAAAAGAACAGCAUUUUUGACUUUAAAGAUUACUUGCUAGAAAAGGGCUAAACUUAAUUUUGUACAUUUUGUAGUAUGAUUAUGACAAAUAUAUCCAAAUUGACCUAUUUUUGAAGAUAAUUUUCUCAGAUACAAUAAAAAAUAUAUAAAAGACCACGAAGGCAAACACAAGGAACUAAGAUGAAAGAUAUGCUUUACAUGCAUUUUGGCCAAUAAAAGAAACCAUUAUAUCCAAGAGUACAUGUUGAAAUCUGAAAUGUCUAUGUAAACUGUGGCAUAUAAAUUUUUUUUUCUUAAAAAAGUACCUUCAAUUUUUUUUUACUCAAAUACUUACUUUUAAAAAAAUAUGCAACUUUCCCCAAUUUUUAAAAUAAAAUGCCACAAUAUAUUGUCAUAAGCUCCAGCAUACAUUUAAAUUUCUUAUUUUUUUAAAAGAUAGACUGGGUGAUAUGCAUACAAACUUUCCUAUAAAAUCACCAUCCGAGAGAGGACUAUGACGUGCCUAUUAGGCAACAGACUUAAAGCAGUGUUAUUGCUUUAUCAAGGAGGAGAGAACUGUGAGAAAAAUAAAACAAAGCAUCCAGGUUCAGUUCAAGAUCAAACUGAUAAACCUUGAAAACCUUGGAUCAUCUUCAGCAGAUUAUUAAUACAGAUGGUAUGAAUUAAGAAUGAUUGUUUUAAUUAGGGGAGUUGGGGUAGGUGGAUUUUAUAAAACUACUCACCGAUCCAAUGCUGAGUAUGCAAAUAAGCAGUGCUGACUUCAACAAGAAAUGAGAUUUUUCUAUUUCCUGUGUUGUUCAUUGGAAAAGGGUAAGGGACUUAAAAGGCCAAGGAAGAGGGGGCCGCAGCAUCUACUCCCGUUUUGGAUACUAAGAGAUUGCUGAAUAACAUACGGUAGGCCAAAAUCCAAGGGCACAGUCAGAAGACCUAAAUCUACUGGCUUACUAAUACUAAUCACUAAUAAUUACAUGGCAGGAUACCUGCUGAGGUAAUUGAUAAACCUACAAUUUGUACACUAUAAACCUUUGCUUCUAAUUAAAAGCAUUAUUUCUUUGGAUUAACUAAAAAUCUCAAAAACCAUUACAACAAAAAGUGAGAAUUAACUAAUAUUAUUUCAAAUUCCCUUAUAUAAGACAUAGAAGUCAGAAAGUACCUUGUUGAUUCCAAAAAGACAAAUUUCAACAGGGGAUCCAAUGCCUUAUCAUCUCUCUGUGGUCAUGAUCUGAUAUUUCUAUAUAGAACAUGACCUAUAAUCUUACCAUACUUUGGAAUACUACAUGCUUCACCUUGCAAAACAAUUCUUUUACUCAGUGAAUCAGCUGAACCAAGUGCUAAAACAAAUACAAAUAAAGGCCAGUAGAACAGACUGAGGAACACUUUGUUCUUAGUGUUCUAAUGGGCGAUGGGAACUGAAGUACUACAAAACUUUGCACUCUUCUUUAAGAAAAAAAAAAUUUAACAUCUCCAAAUCUAAAAUACUGCCUUUUAACAAAGAGUAAUUAAAUUGCCUUCAGGAAUUGACAUUCAAUGUUUGUUUUUGAAAAAUAAACUAGUAGAAAAACAUGAAGAUAUCUGAAUACCAAUUUAAGUUUUUAUAUUUUUUACCGGUUAUAUUAGAUAGUGGCUGAACAAAUCAGCUUAAGAACACAGUGAUUAGUGUACAAGAAAAAAAGCUUCAGUGAAAUCUAAACCCUCAUUUAAGGGUGGUUGACAGCUAUUUACUUAAUAGUAAAUUCUCAGUAGUAUGAACUGUCUUCUAUUAAGAGAAAUGGAGCAUAUUACACGUUGACAAUAAAGUGGCUUUUCAAAAACCAAUCUCAAAAAAAAAAAAAAAAAAAAAAAAGAAUUCCACCUCACAUAGAAAGGGAACACUAUCUUUUAAGGCCCCAAAUAUCAAGAAAUAAAUAUUUACUUAAAAUUUAAUUUCUCCCCCAUGGAUAGAACCUAUGUAUAAGACUUUUUCUAAGAAUCAUGAAAGGAUUCAUCUGAAGAGCAAGUGUAAAAUAUUAGAAAUCAAUGGCUUGACAAAAGGAAGUUAUACUGCUACUCAGUGCUUUCCAAAACGUGCCCUUAGAUAUGACUCCUGAUAAACUGAAAUCAUAAAUGUGGUGGUAAAGAGGGAAAUACACAUAAAUAAAGCAUUUUAAAAUGAUUCUCUCCCUCGUUUAAGAAAAUUCUUCUUACGUACCUGAAAUUUGAGUAAAAUGAUAAAAGUUUGGUGUAAAUUUUAAAGCUGAACUUAUAACAAGAAGCUAAAAAGAAGCCACAGAAUGAAGUUAGUCAACAGCUGUAAUAAAAUCAACACCACUUACAUACACCAUCAGAAGGCCUGAAUAAUAUUCAUGUUUACCCCCAACACUUGUUAAGAAAAGAAAAACCCAAAGGAAUUUGUAUAAUAAUUUCUUUAGAGCACUUUAUUUGAUUCAAUAUGCACUAAAAAAUAUUUACCUUAGACAAUUAUGUCAAAUAAUUUUUACUGAGUAGUCUACUGUCCGAACUGCAGAAGCUGAAGUUUUAAAAAGGCAAACGAUUUGCCACAAAUCUGCUGACGUCUGAAAAAUAUCUAAUGGCAAGUCUUCUAUUUUGGUCACUUUAUAUUUUAAGGUGUCCAUACAAAAGUAGGACUAAAUUUUUUUUAAUCCAACAAAAGAGAAGCCUGUACACAGUCUAGAACACACAUCUUGGAUCUGAGCAUCACAAAUGAAGAGAAGAAAAAUGAAACCAAGCCAAGGUGGUUUACCUGUCUCAGGGGCUGAACUCAGGGUAGUAAAGGUGGGUUUACUCCAGUAACCAUUCAAGUGGGGAUUGGCUCAUUUUCAGGAUUUACUUACAGGCCUCUUCUAAGUCCGUUAAGCCCCCAGUCCAUGCAAAUGUCCCACUUGGUGGACAGAUGAGUAAUCUAACCCCACCGGGUUUAUUUUAAUAGUUUUGAUAUUUAAUAAUAAGCUGCUUCUGAAGAUUUUCUGAGAAGUCUGUUCUCUAUUAAAAUAAGAUAGAACCUCAAAAUAUGAAUGUGAACAUUAGAAAUAGACAGCAUAUAUUACAAAUCCAUUCUUGAUAGGAACAUUAGUAAGAAUACACAUUAGCUUAAAAAACAGGCUCAGCAAAUGUUGCUGAUCUGCCAGAAGUUUUAGUUCACUAUUUACAAAUAAGACAAAGUGAAAUACAGAAAAUUUUACACAUUUGGUAGUUGACAGAUUAUUGUUUGCCAAUAGUGGUCUAUCAGAAAACUGAUAUGAAGGAAGACUGGAUAAGAGCCAGUGGUCACCUUCUCAAUCAAAUUUAAAUGUACAGAAAACUAGAUUAAUUUUGAAACAAACAUUCUGCCUUUGAUGGGAGUAACUUUAUGAUUAAAUGAUCUGACUGGGAAGUGCGAUUCCAUGGAAGUGUUUCUCUGGAAAUGACUACUAUAUGAUCUGCCACUGAAAAGUUACCAUAUUUAUUUCAGCAGACCAUUAAAAUUGAUUAAAUGAUGAUCAAUGAUGUUUCCUAGACUCCAGGUAUAAAUAGAAAAUAAAACUACUGUUGAGUUCUUUAAACCAAUAUAAAAACUAAGGUCCAACAGCAUCAAAGGGAGAAAAAAUAUAAUGGCAUGAUUCAAUGCACAUCUGCAUUGACAUCAAAGCGGAAUCUGAGCAACUUUGAUUUUACCUAGAAAAAAAACUGGUAUGUAUGUGUGUGGAAGGGGAGGCAUGGAAGUCGUUUUUAAUAGCUGUGCACUCUUGUCCAAGAGACAAUUUAUCAAACGACAUGACCUUC
This 4423-nucleotide long non-coding RNA is filed under the name Canis lupus familiaris (dog). RNAcentral describes it as "lncRNA (ENSCAFG00845024009.1)". The record is from RNAcentral. Lineage: Eukaryota; Metazoa; Chordata; Mammalia; Carnivora; Canidae.